GAAAGAGAGUGUCACGAAGAAGGGAACUGCUGUCAUUAUUAGCUUGGAAUGGAAUUUGUAUUUUGACAAAAGAUGCAGACAUUUUAAGACCCGCUGAAGUACUCGAUUUGCACAGCGCCGGCAUAUAAUCAUCAAGUUUGAUGAAAUGUCCUAAUAUGUAGAUGUAGAUGCUAAGUCAUUCAGUCACCUAGCUUGUGAGAAUGGAAUGCUCACAAAAAGGACAAGAGCGAGAGAGCUGUAUGGAAAUUUACACAAAGGGUCAGUUAACGGAGUAAGCUGAUAUGGAGGAUAAUAUAUCAAAGGCAGCAUAGGCGUCCAAACUCCUGUUCAAGGUGCUUUUAAUCAGAAGCUUAAGAGACAAAAGACGAGCCAUUGACAAGGCAAAACUGAAUGUUUUAUAUGAAAUUGAGCAAGAAAAGUUUGAAGUGUCUUUGGGAAUGAUCAACAUCAAACUUGCUGAGCUUUUGAAGCCGUCGUACCAAAAGUGAAUCCAUUCGUGACACCAAUUAUCUGACCACCCUCUAACAGAACCAGUGAGGAAGUGAUUCUAGCCAAUACUUCAGAAGUUUAGGACCUUCAAUAAUUAGGAUCUUGGGGCAUGUUGGGGAAAAAAAUAGCAUGUGUUGAUUUUAUGGGAUCUUUCAAAUAUAGUUGUGUAGUAGAUAUUUGUGUACUUAAUACAUAUGUUUGUCACUCUAGUCAUUAACUUUGUAUGGUAAAUGUAUAUGGACCACUGGAAGAUCAUUGUAACU
This is a long non-coding RNA of Saccostrea echinata, 752 nucleotides long. RefSeq lists it as uncharacterized. NCBI's taxonomy places the organism in Eukaryota, Metazoa, Mollusca, Bivalvia, Ostreida, Ostreidae. The record is from RefSeq and is a predicted model, not a curated record. The transcript is spliced from 5 exons.